This 465-nucleotide ribosomal RNA is filed under the name uncultured bacterium. Its description in RNAcentral is "partial 16S ribosomal RNA". It matches the Rfam family "Bacterial small subunit ribosomal RNA", at positions 338 to 795 of the family's 1533-position model. The record is from RNAcentral.
CCUACGGGUGGCAGCAGUGGGGAAUAUUGCGCAAUGGGCGAAAGCCUGACGCAGCGACGCCGCGUGAGGGAUGAAGGUCUUCGGAUCGUAAACCUCUGUCAGCAGGGAAGAACGGGUACUGUGUAAAUCAGCAGUGAAUUGACGGUACCUGCAAAGGAAGCACCGGCUAACUCCGUGCCAGCAGCCGCGGUAAUACGGAGGGUGCGAGCGUUAAUCGGAAUUACUGGGCGUAAAGCGCACGUAGGCGGUAUGUCAAGUCAAGUGUGAAAUCCCCGCGCUCAACGUGGGAACUGCAUUUGAAACUGGCAGACUGGAGUGUGUGAGAGGGUAGUAGAAUUCCAGGUGUAGGAGUGAAAUCCGUAGAUAUCUGGAGGAACAUCAGUGGCGAAGGCGACUAUCUGGCACAUGACUGACGCUGAGGAGCGAAAGCGUGGGUAGCAAACAGGAUUAGAUACCCGAGUAGUC